GGCUAAUUAGUCCAGAGGACAUUUGUUUUGAAGACAAAAGGAAAGCUGUUAAAGCUAUUAGCCU
Molecule: transfer RNA, 64 nt
Filed under: Polyplax reclinata
Lineage: Eukaryota; Metazoa; Arthropoda; Insecta; Psocodea; Polyplacidae
Description: tRNA-Ser
Source: RNAcentral